UGGGGAAUAUUGGGCAAUGGGCGAAAGCCUGACCCAGCAACGCCGCGUGAAGGAAGAAGGUCUUCGGAUUGUAAACUUUUGUCUUAUGGGACGAUAAUGACGGUACCAUAGGAGGAAGCCACGACUAACUACGUGCCAGCAGUCGCGGUAAUACGUAGGUGGCGAGCGUUAUCCGGAAUUAUUGGGUGUAAAGGGUGCGUAGGCGGGACGUAAAGUCAGAUGUGAAAUGCGGAGGCUCAACCUCCGAACUGCAUUUGAAACUUACGUUCUUGAGUGGAGUAGAGGCAAGCGGAAUUCCCGGUGUAGCGGUGAAAUGCAUAGAUAUCGGGAGGAACACCAGUGGCGAAGGCGGCUUGCUGGGCUUUUACUGACGCUGAGGCACGAAAGUGUGGGGAGCAAACAGGA
RNAcentral lists this ribosomal RNA (405 nucleotides) under uncultured bacterium. RNAcentral's name for it is "bacterial SSU rRNA". It matches the Rfam family "Bacterial small subunit ribosomal RNA", at positions 355 to 777 of the family's 1533-position model. The record is from RNAcentral.